Molecule: ribosomal RNA, 465 nt
Filed under: Vreelandella stevensii
Lineage: Bacteria; Pseudomonadati; Pseudomonadota; Gammaproteobacteria; Oceanospirillales; Halomonadaceae
Description: partial 16S ribosomal RNA
Rfam family: Bacterial small subunit ribosomal RNA
Source: RNAcentral
CCUACGGGUGGCAGCAGUGGGGAAUAUUGGACAAUGGGCGAAAGCCUGAUCCAGCCAUGCCGCGUGUGUGAAGAAGGCCUUCGGGUUGUAAAGCACUUUCAGUGGGGAAGAAAGCCUUGGGGCUAAUACCCUCGAGGAAGGACAUCACCCACAGAAGAAGCACCGGCUAACUCCGUGCCAGCAGCCGCGGUAAUACGGAGGGUGCGAGCGUUAAUCGGAAUUACUGGGCGUAAAGCGCGCGUAGGCGGUCUGAUAAGCCGGUUGUGAAAGCCCCGGGCUCAACCUGGGAACGGCAUCCGGAACUGUCAGGCUAGAGUGCAGGAGAGGAAGGUAGAAUUCCCGGUGUAGCGGUGAAAUGCGUAGAGAUCGGGAGGAAUACCAGUGGCGAAGGCGGCCUUCUGGACUGACACUGACGCUGAGGUGCGAAAGCGUGGGUAGCAAACAGGAUUAGAUCCCCGAGUAGUC